ACUCAGGUCACAGAAGCAGUAAGUUAGAAGUCUGUGGGGAACCUGAGACUGUGCUAUCCUGGUGUCUGCCCACCCAGCUGUUGAGAUGGAAGCCUCAGAUUGGCAAGGGGGUGAAGGAGACAAGCCACUAGAGAAGGUGAAGUGAGGCUGGGAUGUGAGGGAACCAGGGAAGGGCUGGUUUUGGAAAGCCACGAACAUGAAAUUCAAGGAAGGAGACAAGAUGAGAAAAUGGUGGAGUAUGUGGGUUGGCAAAAGCCCCAAAGAACAAGAGAACACAAUUCCUUCAGACAGUUGGGCCAGGGUGUAGCUCAGGAGUAGAGAGCUUGCCUGCCCUAGUCCUGGGUUUGACUCCCCAGAGCCGCAAAGCAGGGGUAAGCAAGUAGGAAACGUGUUUAUCAAAGCUGUGUUUCUGUCAAGACAGUGAGAAGUCCCAUUUGAUCAUUAGUUAUAAAGGGUUACCCAUGUCCAUGUGAGCACACGUAUGUGUUACGGUCUCUGUUCAGUUAUGUGCUGUGUUUAUGGAGUUAGCCAAAGUCCCCCACUCUCUACAGUUGGGGGGAACCUGUCCUGUACCUACUUUACCUAGCUUCCCUUCAGAGUGCUCUGAGUGUGGCUCUUCCUCUCCUGAACUCCAACGGCAAGUAAUCCAAUUGUUCUGAGAGGCUUUGAAAAUGUGAGUUUAACCCUAGCACUUAGGAGGCAGAGGCAGAUGGAGCUCUGUGAAUUCAAGACCAGCCUGGUCUACAGAGUGAGUUCCAGGACGGCUAGGGCUGCACAGAGAAAGUGGUUUCAUUGUUUGGGGGAGGAAAAAAAGCAAGCAAACAAAAAAUCCUAAACAACAAACAAAAAUCCCAAAACACAAGCAAACAAAAAUGAAAAAAGACAAGAAACUUUAAGUUUCAAACCCAGUUAACACCAGUCUAAUAAUCCUGUGCUAAAUCAGUAAUAUUUCAGACCCUUUGUCACCACUAGUUUUCAGUUCCCUUUGCUUCACUUUGUGUCACAAGUCCCUUGUUACCACCACCACCCUUUACCGGGUGCCCUUCAUGCAUGCCAUGAUGCUAACAUUUAGAGAUGCAUAGACAUUGGCCUGGCACCUCGGUAUGUCCAAAUGAAAGGAGACAUGGGCCGGGCAUGGUGGUACACACCUUUAAUCCCAGCACUCAGGAGGCAAAGGCAGGCAGAUCUCUGAGUUCGAGGCCAGCCUGAUCUACAGAGUGAGUUCCAGGACAGCCAGGGCUACACAGAGAAACUGUGUCUCAAAAAACC
This 1269-nucleotide long non-coding RNA is filed under the name Mus musculus (house mouse). RNAcentral describes it as "long non-coding RNA chr11:85171091-85172360". Lineage: Eukaryota; Metazoa; Chordata; Mammalia; Rodentia; Muridae. The record is from RNAcentral.